GCCGCGGGGCGCGGCCCGGUCCGGCCCUGCCGCACGGCCCCCCCGGAGCCCGGCAGCGGGCGGCCUCCCGCAAGGCGCCGUUCCAGCCGCCGGCCCGGCCCCGAGGCUCCAGCGGGGCUGCCCCUCAUCCCGACACCUCAUAACGCCGAGGUCCCGAAGCCGCCCGCCGGGAAGAAGCUUCUACAGCUAAGAAGAACUACCUGUGACAGAAACAAAAAACUGAAUAGUUGUCUGAAUUCGACUUAUCUUCCCAAGAAGAUAAACUCAUUUAAAAAAUAGUGACUCAAAGGGAUCCUGAUGAAUAAAAAGACACAAAGUGAACGCAAGGCAAUGGAUUGACUUCCACAAGCUUCAUUAGCCAGCAGUGAUUAGGAGAGGACACUCAAGAAUUCCAGACCAAUUUUGAAAACUCUUUCUUUAAAGGUUUCCAGAAAAGUUGUAUUAAGGUGGCUUUUGUUUUCCUGUAGCUCACUGUUGACUGUUCAGAAUGGAUUUCUGGAAAAGAAAAAAAAAAAAAAAUGAAACCAAGCAAGCAAACAAAACCCCGGCCUUUUUAUUAUUGAUCACUUUAAGGUAUAUUUGGUUCAGUAUAUUGGACGGUACUACCAGAAUCUGUAUAUUGGGUCAUCCUACUGGGAUAAUUCUGAUUUGUCAUUCAUUGUGAAGAGGAUGACAUCUCCAUACCUUUUCUGGGGCAGCUGAAAAAGAAGCUAAAAACUUCUGGUGUGCCAGGUUCUUUCUAGAUUACUAAGCAGGAAAAACAAUGAUGAAGGAGGAACUUUUUCCUAAGCAAAACUCCACUGCAGACCCCAGCAGCCAAGGAAACCUUCUGGACCCUGGAACAGAUAAUUUUCUGACUCCCUUCAACCUCAGGUUAUUUCCUGUUCUCCAGCUGUGAUGAUUUCACUCAAUCAUAGUCACUCAGACGCUAUUGCCUACUACAUAUGGGAGAAGCAACAUUUGUCCAGCAGUUCAGAACUGCUUUAGAAAAAAGAAGAGUUGUACUUCUCAGAAGAAUAGAAGACACUGUGGAACAAAAGCAGAAGGCAAGUGUUGUUUUCCUGAUUACACAGAGGAGGUUCUGAGGCCUGGACAGACUUGGUCCAGGCCACAGAGGAAAAUCAGUAGAUCUGAAAAAGAACUAAGCAGAAAGGAGCACUUAUUUUGGCCCACACAUGUAUGUAAUGGUGCGACGGUGACAAAUGGAGUGUGAGCACCACGGUGUCUACAACUUGGGUUUGAAAUAAUAAUCUUAGCAAGAUGUGAACAUGACCACACACAUCAAAAGGAUGUUCCAAGAUGCUGCUUGCCUCUUUCUGUGCAUCCACUUCCCAGCAUGCUAAGCAUAAAAUUCCUUGGAAAGGAAAAUCCUGAAAAGAACAAUGUUGGGGGAGGAUGUAUGUUGGAGGAGUAUACCAGACAUCUGAU
Molecule: long non-coding RNA, 1428 nt
Organism: Vidua macroura (Pin-tailed whydah)
Lineage: Eukaryota; Metazoa; Chordata; Aves; Passeriformes; Viduidae
Exons: 7
Source: RefSeq, a predicted model, not a curated record